CCUACGGGGGGCAGCAGUAGGGAAUCUUCGGCAAUGGACGGAAGUCUGACCGAGCAACGCCGCGUGAGUGAAGAAGGUUUUCGGAUCGUAAAGCUCUGUUGUAAGAGAAGAACGAGUGUGAGAGUGGAAAGUUCACACUGUGACGGUAUCUUACCAGAAAGGGACGGCUAACUACGUGCCAGCAGCCGCGGUAAUACGUAGGUCCCGAGCGUUAUCCGGAUUUAUUGGGCGUAAAGCGAGCGCAGGCGGUUUGAUAAGUCUGAAGUUAAAGGCUGUGGCUCAACCAUAGUUCGCUUUGGAAACUGUCAAACUUGAGUGCAGAAGGGGAGAGUGGAAUUCCAUGUGUAGCGGUGAAAUGCGUAGAUAUAUGGAGGAACACCGAUGGCGAAGGCAGGUCUCUGG
Molecule: ribosomal RNA, 402 nt
Filed under: uncultured Lawsonella sp.
Lineage: Bacteria; Bacillati; Actinomycetota; Actinomycetes; Mycobacteriales; Lawsonellaceae
Description: bacterial SSU rRNA
Rfam family: Bacterial small subunit ribosomal RNA
Source: RNAcentral